ACAUGCAAGUCGAACGAAGUAGCAAUACUUAGUGGCAGACGGGUGAGUAACAUGUAGGUAUCUGCCCUUUGGCCUGGAAUAACACGAGGAAACUUGUGCUAAUACUGGAUAAGUCUUUACGGAGAAAGCUUUAUGCACCAUUGGAUGAGCCUGCACUUGAUUAGUUUGUUGGUAGGGUAAUGGCCUACCAAGACUGUGAUCAAUAGCUGAUUUGAGAGGAUGAUCAGCCACAUUGGGACUGAGACACGGCCCAAACUCCUACGGGAGGCAGCAGUGGGGAAUCUUGCACAAUGGAGGAAACUCUGAUGCAGCGAUGCCGCGUGAGUGAAGAAGGCCUUUGGGUUGUAAAGCUCUUUCGUCGGGGAAGAAAAUGACUGUACCCGAAUAAGAAGGUCCGG
RNAcentral lists this ribosomal RNA (398 nucleotides) under uncultured Pseudomonadota bacterium. RNAcentral describes it as "bacterial SSU rRNA". It matches the Rfam family "Bacterial small subunit ribosomal RNA", at positions 53 to 496 of the family's 1533-position model. The record is from RNAcentral. Lineage: Bacteria; Pseudomonadati; Pseudomonadota.